GAUGAACGCUGGCGGCGUGCCUAAUACAUGCAAGUCGAGCGAACGGACGAGAAGCUUGCUUCUCUGAUGUUAGCGGCGGACGGGUGAGUAACACGUGGAUAACCUACCUAUAAGACUGGGAUAACUUCGGGAAACCGGCGCUAAUACCGGAUAAUAUUUUGAACCGCAUGGUUCAAAAGUGAAAGACGGUCUUGUUGUCACUUAUAGAUGGAUCCGCGCUGCAUUAGCUAGUUGGUAAGGUAACGGCUUACCACGGCAACGAUGCAUAGCCGACCUGAGAGGGUGAUCGGCCACCUGGGAAGUGAGACACGGUCCAGACUCCUACGGGAGGCAGCAGUAGGGUAUCGUCCGCAAUGGGCGAAAGCCUGACGGAGCAACGCCGCGUGAGUGAUGAAGGUCUUCGGAUCGUAAAACUCUGUUAUUAGGGAAGAACAUAUGUGUAAGGAACUGUGCACAGCGUGACGGUACCUAAUCAGAAAGCCACGGCUAACUACGUG
This 497-nucleotide ribosomal RNA is filed under the name uncultured bacterium. Its description in RNAcentral is "partial 16S ribosomal RNA". It matches the Rfam family "Bacterial small subunit ribosomal RNA", at positions 28 to 507 of the family's 1533-position model. The record is from RNAcentral.